Triticum urartu is the source of this 4387-nucleotide non-coding RNA. Lineage: Eukaryota; Viridiplantae; Streptophyta; Magnoliopsida; Poales; Poaceae. The record is from RefSeq and is a predicted model, not a curated record.
ACACCUCCUCUGACGCCUUCCCCUCCCUCUCGCCUCGUCUCCCACCCACCAUGGCCGAGGUCGCCAACGCGCCCGUCACACAGCGCCUGGAGCCUCCACCUCCCUCCUCCCUCUGCUGCCCUCAGCGGCGACUUGCGGCCGCUCCUCGCCCGUGCUCCAGCCGCCACCCUCGUGUUGAAGCCUUGAAGGUGCGGGCCCAAAAGGAGGCGCUGAUCCCUCCCUUGCAGGAGGAGCAAGGCACCAAGCCUCGAAGGUCACAGCCUGAUGGCGCCUACCCCGCCGCUUCGGCCUGGGGCCGUUGGGGAGUCAUGGCCGACAUCGGCCUCAAGUUCUUUGCCUGAUGCUGUCGGCCAACAUAUACUAUAGGUGCUGAAGGGUAGUAUCUCGGCGGUUCAUGUCACAUAUGUGCUUACGGAUUUGCACUGAAUCUGCUAAUUGUCAUUGUGAAGGCUGCAACUUUACUAAACAAGAUGAAAUAUGAUGAUGCAUAUAUUUUAGUUUUCAAGGAGACAAAUCAUAAUUGUUGCGUGCAUAUCAGGUGAAGCAAACUUCAUAGUGUUCUUUCAGCUAAUUCUCUUUGAGGUUUGUGUAGGUUUUUGAUUUUUCACGACUCGUCGACAGUUGCCGGGAAUGCACCCAGAAUAUGCGGUAGACCAAAAUUUCUCUACAUUUAUAUCAUUCCACAGAAAAAGGGAAGCUGCAUAAGAAUUAUCAAGUCGUUGGAUAUGUAAAUACAUACAGAUGUAGCUUGAUUUGGUCUUUGAGUUCUUUUUUGUACGGGAUCGAUAGGUGGCUGGAGGUCGUCCCCGUGGUGAUCGCAGUAGAUCGUGUAAUGUCAUGGCAUAAAUCACAGAGACGUUCCUCUGUUCUUCUUGCCCUUCGAGUCCGCACCAGAAGCAGGGGUCCUCAUCGAUCGAUCUCUCUCGGUUCUGUCGGCGUUAGCCAUGGUGUUGUUGGGGUUCUUUGUCAGCUUCUCUUUGCCGGCAUCGAUGACGCCCAAUUGUGGCGUACAGCCUUGGAGUAGCAGCGGACAGCGGUGCUGCAAACUCCAGCUCCAGUGGCAUUGACAGCAGCUUCCUGGGCAGUCUGUGGGCACCGUUAUUCAGGAACAGCAGUAGCACCUUAAAUGCCACUUCAGGGAUGCCUUAGCUUCUCCUCACCAUCGACGACCUCCCCUCCUCCUCGCACCAGAUUGAGCAGCAGGCUAGACAGAGCAGAGCGGAGCGAAUGGGUCGUGCCAGAACCAGCAUAACACGGUCGCGGGCGGUGAGGGCGAGGCUGAGUCGCUGGACUACGGACUCGUGGAGGAGGAAAUCCAGGGCUCGGGUUUCAUCUACAUGGUCGACUGCUCGGGUGCUGUGCAGCGGGUCAGUGCUUGGACGCUCUUCAAAGCUUUCGUCUUUAUUGUCUCGUACACCUUUGGCUACACGCUCGACCAACAUGACGGCCCAUGCAGCAAGUUCUAGGCCGGCCGCAACCAUGACAUUGACGGCAUCCAUAACAAUCAUGUAUCCUUCGACAUCUGGAUCGACUACUGCUCCCUCCUCGACUACGACGACGGGCUCAUCGACAUCACAGUCUCCAGCAAUAUGGUCAUUGAUGCAACAAACAAGGAGAACAAGUCCAGGUUCAUCAAUCAUAGUUGUGAACCAAACACAGAGAUGCAGAAAUGGACUGUAGAUGGAGACCAGAGUUGGAAUGUUUGCUCUUCUUGACAUGGAGAGAGGGGAGGAGCUGACAUAUGACUAUAAAUAUGUCCAGUUUGGAGCAGAUCACAAUUGUCAUUGGGGAUCUUCAAACUGCAGAAAAAUGGUUGGCAUGUCUAGGAAGACAGGGCUUCUGGCAGGAGGGGAUCUGCUUUUCCUCCUGAUCUUCUCCGUAAUUGGGAGGUUGAGCCAUGGCCUACCCGUGCUUCUAAAUACUUCAUUGGAGAAAUGUAUAGCGAUAAUUCACUUAGGAGUACAAUUUCAGUAGUAAUGACAAGAACCGACAGUGGGACUACAACACUAUGUUUCAUGUGCCUUGGAGAUGUGAACGGCUAAUAGUUGCAGGAUUCUUUGUCUGCUUGGAGUGCCCCGAUGCAGGCUUAGUCCACAUGAGGAGCGAGCUCGCUGUGGAUCUUACCCUUGUGCCAAUGCCAUGGACAAGGUGCCCUCUCCACCUCUUCUCUCUGUGUGUUAGUGUGUUCGAUUUGAAGCUGGUCCUCUGUUCGUAAAGCUCAGGGCGGGGGCAGGAGGUCAUGGCGAGCCCGACGCCCAUAGGCAGAGGCAACAGGAGUUGGUGGAGUGGCGGAUGCGGCCGGUGUCGGCAGUUGAGGGAGGCUUGCCGGCCGGAGUGACAUGAGUAGUCCGAUAAUCGCGUCGCAAGAGGCUGCUCUCCUUUGCCGAGGUUGCUCUGCCUCUUUCCAUUGUUUCCUUUUGUGCCGUUAGAUUGUUGCUCGUCACCUGUUCAUACAUAUGCCUGUGGGCCUGUGUGUUUCUUUGUAGUCCAUAUCAUGUGAUUCACAGCCUGCUCUAAAAUUUUGUUUGUGUUGGACAAGUCGGCUACUAAUUCCAGUUUGUGUGCGGUUGCGUGUGUGAAGUGGCUGCCUUGUGCAGUUGAGGAACAAAACAGAAAAAGGAAAGGAGUCAAUACAGACCUGACCAGCAGGAAAGCACAUGUGGUCUGCUAUGGGUGUUGGAGGAGAUAGAUUUUGGUCCAUCAGAGUCUACUUGGAAGCUGACAAUACAUGCUAUGCCUCUGUUCAGGCAUGGGUCCUAUUUGAUAAUAAAGCAGGAACCAUGGUGGUUGGAUACAAUGCAAUACUUUGAUAGCUGGCCGAAUCAAUCCAUCCCAUGAGUGAAGAGUAUACUUCUAUAAUUUCCUACAAAAUAUAUGGGUAAGCAUUCUCACUUCACUAGCUUGUUUAUUAAGAGGUACAAGUGGGUGGCCAGCUGCAUACUCUAGAUGACAAUGUCAAGACCUAUCUUAUUUAGAUUUAUGUUGGUUUUUUGAUUUCAUUUAUUUUCAAUGGAUGGAUAUUAAGAAAUUUUUAUAUCGGCAUUUUGUGGCUGGAUGAACAAGGAGCUGGAAAAGUAUUUGCAAAAAUAAUGGUUGCUUAUUACAGGGUAAACCCAAUAAAUUUGUAUGUACAUUUAGAUGACCUUAUCUUUGUUUCUGGAUUGAUUAGUUAAGCCACUAACAUAUCCUUAUGUUAUAUACUCCCUCUCGGAGUAUCUAAAUAAACUAGCAUUUCUAACUCAAGCUAUGGAGCGACAUUGGGGACCAAACAAGGUGGCAUAAUGUGCUGAGAAAAGAUAGGGGCGCACAAAAACGCCUCAAGAGGCGCACGAAAGUGCGCCCCAACCACUAGUUGAAGUUAUCUUGGAUGAGCUGGCUGGAGCACGCUGGUUCUUCAAGUUAGGUUUGCGCUCGUGCAAUCACCAAAUUCGCCUGGCGGCAGAAGGGGAGGAGUACAAAACAACUUUUUUUUAGAAUCACAAAACAGCUUUUCAAACACAUUCUGGCCAUUUUAAAGGUGGUGCAUUUUGGCCUCGGUGGAGCACCCGUAACCUUUGUUGGGCUACGAAUGUCACAUUACAGUACAGCCGGUGUUACGCCUUUGUGUCAUGGUUUUGUCUGUUUUUUAUCCGCUUGGAUCGGCCGAGCGGACGAACGCGUCCAUUUUUUGAUUUGGGUAGACCGAUGCGCUCAAUGGGUGCCAAAACCAUUUUUUCCCACGCAAAAAAAGAAUUUUCGAAAACAUGUGGCCGAAAUGAACAUAAUUAAGCAUUAAUGGUCGGUGAACCACAGGUCAAAAUCCACUUAAAAAUUAAUUAAACAUUAGAAAAAAUACCACACCCGCACCCGCACACUGCCCUAGGCUCCGUCCUUGCCCUAGCAUUUGUCGUCGUCGCCGUCGCCGGUGAGGUCGAUGAAUGUUGGUGGCUGCCCAGCCCACGCGAACGCCUCUGCCACGGUGCCAACGCGGCCUCUCCGGCGUCUGCAGCGGCGGUGGUAUUGCGGUGCACUUCUCCUCCUCCUCACGCUCCCACAACAUCUGUUGCUCGCUGUCGGCCUGCUCCUCGACGAGCCGGUGUUGUUUCCGCCGCUCCAAGUGGCUCUCCUCCUCCUCCGGCGUCGCGUCGAAGUGGAUGGGGCGCUCUCACCCACUCGCGGACCGCGUCGGUCCACGAGUACGACUCGUCGGGCCAAGUGAGCGGCGGCGGCGACCGCUUACGACUGGCCUCAGGCUCGGCCAUGGGCUGAAGGAUAGGCCGCGGCGGUCAUGGGGGGCGUACACGGAGUCCCCCGCGGCCGACAGGGCGAGGGCCUGCUCCAAGUUGUCCCAGUGCGCGUCCUCCUCGAGCCAGCUUUCCUCGAGCGAGCUGGCUUUCCUCGAGCGCGC